AACCAAAACUCGAUUUGCUUCUAAGUAAACAAAUAUUCAGAAACCAAAUACAAUCCUAAAAAAUUACCAUAGGGUCCAGGCUUGACGGCCUAAACCUAGAAUCACUUGACUUUUAAAAUGGACUUGGGAUUCAGCCUAGGUUAGUCAAGCAAAACCAUGUCUCUUUUUACAGGAUAAGCUCAUAGUAUGGCUCAUUACAUCACUGUUUUAAAAAAAAACAUGAUCAUAACACAAUUAAACUCCCAACAUGGUUGUCUCUGAAUUUCAAUACAUGAAUUUAACAACCUAAUUAAUUACAAAAUUGCAAAGAAAAUAAGAAAAAGUUUCAACGCAUUACAUAAUAAUUUAUGAAUUGCAUACUAACUACAAAGACAAAGAAACUAAUUUAUUACAAAUCUCUGUAUAACCAGCAAAUUGUAAAGAAAUCAUGCUUCUUUGGGCAUGACUUGUCCAUCAAACCAUGGUCUCUUUUUGCGAUCCAUACCAUACAUCAAAGUUCCAAAGCUUCAGCUUCUAAACCUACUGAUUUAGCCAACCUGUGGUUAUAUCUGCAGGUUGCAGCUUAUGACCAAACAGUCAAAAGAGAAUAAAAACAAUAUCUUUAAGUAAAAGGAAUCAGAUGAAAGAGAAAAGGAAAGCAUUGUCAACAAUAUCAAACCUAGAUGUUGCUAUGAGACGAAACUAUUUUCUGCAGUUUUGAGAACAUUUCUAACUACUAAAAUGCAUAGAAAGGCACAUGAAAAGCUAAUUGAAAAUAUUAAACAGAUAUUACUUUCUACUAUUGGAUCAUACAAUCAUACACACAUAGUCAUGGACAAUUUAAGGUUUGCACAAAUAAACUCAUUCCCAUAGAUAGAAUGUGGUUACAUACCUAGAAAUAGUUCAAAUAAAGACCAAAUAAAGGUCACUAGAAUAGCUGAUUCUUCUAAAGAUAAUGAGUAAUAACACGCAGCCAAACAAACAACCAAAUCAAAUUCAAAUUCAGCUUUCAAAACCCAGAGAUUUCAACCCAAGAAAACCAAGCAAAGUUCUUCUACUUCAAGUAAUUUUUCAACUUUUUCAAAGAGAAACCAAAGAAUAAAGUUUCUAAAAUUCCCUAAACCUAAGCUUUUUCAGAAGAGGAAGGAAUUAUUUUUGUGCAAUAAAUUGAUGCUGAAAAUGUAUCUCCAAAUCUAUCUCUUUUUAGAAAAAAUGGAGCCUAUAUAUAGGCUGCCUAUGGGGAGGGUAUCUUUUAGCAUAUUCCUUAUCCUAAGGAAUAAUAGUACAAUCCUUUUUAACAGCCCUUGGUACAGCUGUCCCAUUCUCAGCAUAUUUUUUAAACAGCUGUACAUUUUCCUAAAAAUAUCUGAUUUUUUGUCAGGGUAAAAAUGCGUUUUAACCCUUAGAUUGCUACUUAUUUUAGGUUUCAGCCUAAACUUUCUAAUUCGAAGGGGUGCCUAAAGUUUCUACUUGUUCAUUUAAGCCUUAAAAGUCUUAAAGAAUUGAAAAUUAAACUAACACUUUUCUAAUAGAAACCAGAGGAAAAUUGAAUAAAAAGGCAUCAAUAAUUGAUCAAUUGAAACUCACAUUUAACAAGUAUUCAAUAAUGAACAAUCUAUUUCAAAUUUUGAACAAUUAAAUCAGCCAAUAAGGAAUCAAAUGAUGCUAAAUAUGCUGAUUUUAAACCAAAAAAAAAUUGAAAUAGGAAACUGAAGCCCUACAGGAUAUUAAAAUCAUAUUAAAGUGGAAACCUAAUUAAUGUAAUAUAUGCUUUCAUUAAUUAGACAACAAAUCGAAAGAAGAAAAUAAAUCGAACAAACAAUUUAUAAGCCUAAUUUUAGCCCUACUUGAUCUAAAAGGAUCAGAAUUAACUAACAUGUUCAACAUGCUUCAUGUGAAAAUAAUUCAUAAUUAAACCCUAAAUUAAGCAAGGGAUCAAAACAAAAUCCAUGAAUGCUAGUAUUCCUACACAGUGAACUGAAUCUGAAUUAAACCAAAUUAGCAAAAGUGAUAUUUUAAAUAACAAACUGGAAUGAUUCAGAAAACAAAACAAACUAAUGUAACGUAGAAAAAAUUACUAAUUAAACACAAUCAAAAAACAAACAAUUUUUUACAAACUUAAAUCAAGCUAUGAAUGAAAAACUGACUCGACCUUUGAAAUAGAAAGAAAGGGAAAAUAAAGAAGAAUAGAAAAGGGGAGAGCAAACAAUAGAAAUUUAACAAGGAAUUGGAAGAAAUAAUUGUUAGAAGACCGUUGCCUUCCGCCUUCGCUUUGAUCAACAGAGAUCGUUUUCUUUCAAGAGAUCCAAUCUUGCAUGGAUUUGACUAGAUCUACACAAAAGAAAAGACUUCUGGGAGCCUAAACUUUGAAGGAAAAGAGGAGCAAAGAACUCUGGGGUCAAUUUGGGGAAAGCUAGGGUUUUCAAAUUUAAUCCUUAGAUUUGAAAUUCGAACAAACUGGACGUGAUUCGAGGGGGGCUAAGGGUUGUUUGGGGCUUAGAGAGGGGUAAAGGUCAGAGGGUGUAUGUUUGAAGCGAUUUUGAAUGGUUGAAGUUUUGGCCGAAUUUUGAUCUAAGAUUUGAAAAGGAUGGGGUGAUUUAAAGAAGAAGGAUAUUUGGAAUGGGGAGGUGAAGGGGAGUAUGUGGUAUUAUUUUAGGGCGAUUGGACCACUAGAACCAUCCUGAGGCGAUUUUUGAUGGUGGUUCACGAUGGAGGCGGCGUGGGGUUCAAGGGCGGCUAGGGUUUUAGGUUGUCUUCAAAGAGAAAGGAGAGUAAGAGAGUUGGUUUGG
RNAcentral lists this long non-coding RNA (2768 nucleotides) under Nicotiana benthamiana. Its description in RNAcentral is "long non-coding RNA (NBEN_LNC007416)". The record is from RNAcentral. Lineage: Eukaryota; Viridiplantae; Streptophyta; Magnoliopsida; Solanales; Solanaceae.